CGUGGGCAGAAGUUCUGCUGCAUACUGAAGACCAACAUUGGCUGCCAUGUUCAGACAGAAUCGCGACAAUAUUGACAUUACUAAUUUCGCGAGCACUGGGGAAUAAAUUAAAAAAUACAAAAUUAAUCCUGGGUACACAAUACUUGAUUAUCGAUAUAUUUACUGGAAUGCAGCAUAAGUUCAGCGAUACUGAGUACACAGGUCAUUGCCAUCGUGAGAAAUCCGCAGAGUCUACGACCCCAUCGGUCGAGCAACAGGGCGAGUAAUAACCCAGCUGGAAGUUCUGUGGCACAGGCGAUCGAGAACGACACGAACACCGAGCUCUGGAUAAGUUUUAAUGAAUACACGUGACCGUCGAACGAGAUCAGGGUGAAACACCUACAAGAUUGUAUCGGUUAUUUAUGAAGGUUUUCUCGCAACAUGAACUCGUAUCUUAUACUUGCCAGAAUGCAACUAGAAGAAUAGUGUUUCUCGCCAACCGUGGCGUUUUGAACAGAUCGAGCAGCGUCGCUGAUUCUUGAAUUUUGUCCGGUGCCUCCAUGUUACUCUGCAAGAAUUUAUUUCGAGAAUAAUUAACGAAAGAUAUAAUACGAGUCGUGCCUUUAGCCCUUACACAGUUCAAAAUUCAUAACACACUGAAAAGAAAUUUUAUUUUCAUUUUAUUCGUCAUUAAUAGAUAGCACGAACAGUGGCACUUUGCAUUCUGUUUUAUGGAAUUAGUCGGCAUGGCUUUUGAUAUCGAGAUUUAUUAAUAUAAUGGGUGGUUGGUUGAUUAAAUACUUUUCUGAUCCGAAAUACAGUCGGGAACAAAACUAAGUGGAUUAGUGGAGAAAAUGUAAAAAUUCAUUUCAAUCAUUUGCUGAACUAUCUGCAUAUUAUUAGAAGGAAAUAUAAUAAAUAAAACUCAAGUAUAUGAGGCUGAUACUAA
Long non-coding RNA from Bombus huntii, 928 nucleotides. RefSeq lists it as uncharacterized. Lineage: Eukaryota; Metazoa; Arthropoda; Insecta; Hymenoptera; Apidae. The record is from RefSeq and is a predicted model, not a curated record. The transcript has 2 exons.